Molecule: transfer RNA, 67 nt
Filed under: Cryptocotyle lingua
Lineage: Eukaryota; Metazoa; Platyhelminthes; Trematoda; Opisthorchiida; Heterophyidae
Description: tRNA-Asp
Source: RNAcentral
CCGUUCUUAGUUUAUAUUUUUGAAUAAUAGUUUGUCGUACUAUAGGAGGUGUUAAAGCCAGAUCGGG